GACGAACGCUGGCGGCGUGCCUAAUACAUGCAAGUCGAACGCUUCUUACUUAUCGAACUUCGGUUCACCAAGUAAGAGGAGUGGCGAACGGGUGAGUAACACGUGGGUAACCUGCCCAUCAGAGGGGGAUAACACUUGGAAACAGGUGCUAAUACCGCAUAAUUCAGUUUACCGCAUGGUAGAGUGAUGAAAGGCGCUUUUGCGUCACUGAUGGAUGGACCCGCGGUGCAUUAGCUAGUUGGUAGGGUAAUGGCCUACCAAGGCAACGAUGCAUAGACGACCUGAGAGGGUGAUCGGCCACGCUGGGACUGAGACACGGCCCAGACUCCUACGGGAGGCAGCAGUAGGGAAUCUUCGGCAAUGGACGAAAGUCUGACCGAGCAACGCCGCGUGAGUGAAGAAGGUUUUCGGAUCGUAAAACUCUGUUGUUAGAGAAGAACAAGGAUGAGAGUAAAAUGUUCAUCCCUUGACGGUAUCUAACCAGAAAGCCACGGCUAACUUCGUGCCAGCCGCCGCGGUAA
This 521-nucleotide ribosomal RNA is filed under the name uncultured bacterium. RNAcentral's name for it is "partial 16S ribosomal RNA". It matches the Rfam family "Bacterial small subunit ribosomal RNA", at positions 28 to 523 of the family's 1533-position model. The record is from RNAcentral.